UACAGAGGUCCCAAGCGUUGUUCGGAUUCAUUGGGCGUAAAGGGGGCGUAGGCGGCGCGGUAAGUCGGGUGUGAAAUCUCGGAGCUUAACUCCGAAACUGCAUUCGAUACUGCCGUGCUUGAGGACUGGAGAGGAGACUGGAAUUUACGGUGUAGCGGUGAAAUGCGUAGAUAUCGUAAGGAAGACCAGUGGCGAAGGCGGGUCUCUGGACAGUUCCUGACGCUGAGGCACGAAGGCCAGGGGAGCAAACGGG
Molecule: ribosomal RNA, 253 nt
Filed under: uncultured bacterium
Lineage: Bacteria
Description: partial 16S ribosomal RNA
Rfam family: Bacterial small subunit ribosomal RNA
Source: RNAcentral